UACGGAGGGAGCUAGCGUUGUUCGGAAUUACUGGGCGUAAAGCGCGCGUAGGCGGCUUUGUAAGUUAGAGGUGAAAGCCCGGGGCUCAACCCCGGAACUGCCUUUAAAACUGCAUCGCUUGAAUCCGGGAGAGGUGAGUGGAAUUCCGAGUGUAGAGGUGAAAUUCGUAGAUAUCGGGAGGAACACCAGUGGCGAAGGCGGCGAUCUGGGAAGAUACUGACGCUGAGGUGCGAAAGCGUGGGGAGCAAACAGG
Molecule: ribosomal RNA, 253 nt
Filed under: uncultured bacterium
Lineage: Bacteria
Description: partial 16S ribosomal RNA
Rfam family: Bacterial small subunit ribosomal RNA
Source: RNAcentral